AUGGGUAUCAAUGUUCUCGGCUUGACCCAAGUGUUUGUGAAUGUGUUGUGUUUGUCUCAUGCUGGUUGCACAGUGAAGCCCUCAGUGUCUCUGCUGCCGCCCUCUUCUCUGCAGAUCUCUGGAGACUCAGCCGCACUGCUCUGCCUGCUCAGCUCUUACUCUCCACCGGGGGCGCUGGUGAGCUGGACACUGGACGGCUCAGAGGUCACCGAGGGGGUCCAGACCAGUGCAGAGAGCGAGCGGGACGGGCGCUACAGCCGCAGUAGCAUCCUGACCCUCAGUAAAGCACACUGGGAAAAAGGAGAGCUGUACGUCUGCAGAGUAACACAUGAAGGAGCUCCUCAAGAGGUCUCGUUCCAGAAGAGUCACUCGCAGUGCUGAUGUUUCUCCAGUGAGCGCUGCUCUCUCCUGAAGAUGAGGCAUAUGUGAGUGUCCUGUGUCAGGCAGGAUUCACAUGAGUCUAGUGCUGCAGCUGUAGUCAUU
This is a non-coding RNA of Labeo rohita (rohu), 483 nucleotides long. NCBI's taxonomy places the organism in Eukaryota, Metazoa, Chordata, Actinopteri, Cypriniformes, Cyprinidae. The record is from the annotation of a RefSeq genome assembly.